UAUUAGGUUGGUGCAAAAGUAAUUGCAGUUUUUAUCAUCACUUAUAAUGGAAAAAGCCACACUUACUUUUGCACCAAACUAAUA
This 84-nucleotide microRNA precursor is filed under the name Cebus imitator (Panamanian white-faced capuchin). Its description in RNAcentral is "miRNA (ENSCCAG00000011924.1)". Lineage: Eukaryota; Metazoa; Chordata; Mammalia; Primates; Cebidae. The record is from RNAcentral.